CCCUUAGAUGUUCUGGGCUGCACGCGCGCUACACUGAAGCGUUCAACGAGUAUUCACCUUGCCCGGGAGGGUUGGGUAAUCUUUUGAAAACGCUUCGUGAUGGGGAUAGAUUAUUGCAAUUAUUAAUCUUCAACGAGGAAUUCCUAGUAAACGCAAGUCAUCAACUUGCAUUGAUUACGUCCCUGCCCUUUGUACACACCGCCCGUCGCACCUACCGAUUGAAUGGUCCGGUGAAGCCUCCGGAUUGGCGCGCACCUCGGUGCCGCCGAGAAGUUGGCUAAACCUUACCAUUUAGAGGAAGGUGAANUCGUAACA
RNAcentral lists this ribosomal RNA (315 nucleotides) under uncultured eukaryote. Its description in RNAcentral is "partial 18S ribosomal RNA". It matches the Rfam family "Eukaryotic small subunit ribosomal RNA", at positions 1470 to 1796 of the family's 1831-position model. The record is from RNAcentral.